UACGUAGGUUGCGAGCGUUGUCCGGAUUUAUUGGGCGUAAAGCGCGCGCAGGCGGUCCUGCAAGUCCACGGUGAAAGCUCCCGGCCCAACUGGGAGAUGCCCGUGGAAACUGCAGGACUUGAAGGCGGGAGAGGCAGAUGGAAUUUCCGGUGCAGCGGUAAAAUGCGUAGAUACCGGAAGGAACACCAGUGGCGAAAGCGAUCUGCUGGCCCGCCCUUGACGCUCAGGCGCGAAAGCUAGGGGAGCGACCGGG
Molecule: ribosomal RNA, 253 nt
Filed under: uncultured bacterium
Lineage: Bacteria
Description: partial 16S ribosomal RNA
Rfam family: Bacterial small subunit ribosomal RNA
Source: RNAcentral